GGGUUGUGAGGUUAAGCGACUAAGCGUACACGGUGGAUGCCCUGGCAGUCAGAGGCGAUGAAGGGCGUGCUAAUCUGCGAUAAGCGCCGGUAAGGUGAUAUGAACCGUUAUAACCGGCGAUACCCGAAUGGGGAAACCCAGUGUGACUCGUCACACUAUCAUUAACUGAAUCCAUAGGU
RNAcentral lists this ribosomal RNA (179 nucleotides) under Salmonella enterica subsp. enterica serovar Muenchen. RNAcentral's name for it is "partial 23S ribosomal RNA". It matches the Rfam family "Bacterial large subunit ribosomal RNA", at positions 1 to 171 of the family's 2925-position model. Lineage: Bacteria; Pseudomonadati; Pseudomonadota; Gammaproteobacteria; Enterobacterales; Enterobacteriaceae. RNAcentral also lists the same sequence under 3 other names. The record is from RNAcentral.